Molecule: microRNA precursor, 158 nt
Filed under: Podarcis lilfordi (Lilford's wall lizard)
Lineage: Eukaryota; Metazoa; Chordata; Lepidosauria; Squamata; Lacertidae
Source: RNAcentral
AUAGUGAAGAAGAAGAAGAAGAAGAAGAAGAAGAAGAAGAAGAAGAAGAAGAAAUAAUAUCACAUACUCUUCAACAUAUGUGACCUUAUUCCUUCCUCCUCCUCCUCCUCCUCCUCUUCUUCUUCUUCUUCUUCUUCUUCUUCUUCUUCUUCUUCAUU